Long non-coding RNA from Entelurus aequoreus (snake pipefish), 869 nucleotides. RefSeq lists it as uncharacterized. NCBI's taxonomy places the organism in Eukaryota, Metazoa, Chordata, Actinopteri, Syngnathiformes, Syngnathidae. The record is from RefSeq and is a predicted model, not a curated record. The transcript is spliced from 4 exons.
UCUUUCUAUUCAUGGCUGCCACCAGAGGGAGCGCUCUCGCUGUCACAAUGAUUUUUAAAGUAGGCAAAUAUGUCGUAAGAAGUCACACGCUUUCCCCUCCUAGUAUCAAAACAUUGUGAAUAUUUUGAAUGAGUUUGUUACCGCCUCGUGUUCUGUGCGAACAACUCCGACAUGGCCGCCAGUCUUAAGGUGCACUUGGUGUCUCGUCACGCCUUCACGUUCCGAACCCAAACAGCCCACUAACUUCCCUACUAACAGACGCUCAUCCGCUGGCAUCUUCGAGAUGAGGUGAGAGGUCACGGGGUCGGUGGGAAGUCAGGAGAAAGGCACGUCCCAUCUCUGCGUGGCGGCGCUCAGCUCACACGGGCUGAUGACCAGCAUGCGGGACGAGUCCAGCCCGUCCAGCGCCAUAGCCGAGUCUAGGCAGAAACGGGACGCCUGGUGCUCCAGGCGGGCUACACCCUGGACAAGUCGCCACCUCAUCGCAGGGCCAACACGUGUGCAGCUGAGAUAGGCUCCAGCACCCCCCUGGACCCCGUAAAGGACAAACGGUAGAAAAUGGAUGGAUGGAUGAACUGAAAGUCAAAGGUGAUUUAUGACUUGUCAGAUUGGUUUCUGCUGCAGGGAGUUCUGGGACGCCGUCAAGGUGCCCACUGGUCAGAUGUCCAUGGCUGUGUCAUACUUGCCCAGGUGAUCGAACCACGAGCUGUCAAUUACAAAGAGGCCGCCGGCGAUGAUGGGCGUCCUGCCAAGCGGGCAUCAUCAUCAUCUUAAUCAUCAUCAUCUUUAAAGUGCAGGGUUUCCCACACAUUCAUUUAUUUGUGGCGGCCCGCCACGAAAGAAUUACGUCCGCCACAAAUAAAAUAAAA